Zonotrichia albicollis (white-throated sparrow) is the source of this 379-nucleotide non-coding RNA. The record is from RefSeq and is a predicted model, not a curated record. NCBI's taxonomy places the organism in Eukaryota, Metazoa, Chordata, Aves, Passeriformes, Passerellidae.
ACCUAUUUUUUAAAUUCUUUUUUUCUUAUAAUUUAUUCCCAAUUUUAGGGUUUUAGUGCCCUGCAAAGCCACAUCAACUAAAGAGAACUUUUAAAAAAAAUUAUUUUUCUUAUUUUCUAUUCCCCAUUUUUAAAGGGUUUUAGUGCCCUGCAAAACCCACAGCAACCAAAGAGAACCUUUGUAAAAAAUUGUUUCUUUCUGAUCAUUUAUUCGCCAUCUAAUUUGAUUUUUUGUAGAAUUUAUUCCCCAUUUUUUAAAGGGUUUUAGUGCCCUGCAAAACCCACAUCACCUAUUUUUUAAAUUAUUUUUUUCUUAUAAUUUAUUCCCAAUUUUAGGGUUUUAGUGCCCUGCAAAGCCACAUCAAUGAAAGAGAACUUUA